Molecule: ribosomal RNA, 439 nt
Filed under: uncultured bacterium
Lineage: Bacteria
Description: partial 16S ribosomal RNA
Rfam family: Bacterial small subunit ribosomal RNA
Source: RNAcentral
CUACGGGUUGCUCCAGUGAGGAAUAUUGCACAAUGGGGGGAACCCUGAUGCAGCAACGCCGCGUGGAGGAUGACGCAUUUCGGUGUGUAAACUCCUUUUAUAUGUCAAGAAAAUGACGGUAGCAUAUGAAUAAGCACCGGCUAACUCCGUGCCAGCAGCCGCGGUAAUACGGAGGGUGCAAGCGUUACUCGGAAUCACUGGGCGUAAAGGACGCGUAGGCGGGUUGGAAAGUCAGGUGUGAAACCCUACAGCUUAACUGUAGAACUGCACUUGAAACUUCUAAUCUAGAGUAUGGGAGAGGUAGAUGGAAUUUCUGGUGUAGGGGUAAAAUCCGUAGAUAUCACUAGGAAUACCUAAAGCGAAGGCGAUCUCCUGGAACAUUACUGACGCUAAGGCGUGAAAGCGUGGGGAGCAAACAGGAUUAGAUACCCCCGUAGUC